AGCCGAGCGAUAAAACUUUAACAGAACCCUUCGGGGCGAAGAUAAAGUGGAUUAGCGGCGGACGGGUGAGUAACACGUGAGUAACCUGCCUUAGACAUUGGGAUAGCCUCGGGAAACCGGGAUUAAUACCAAAUAAAAUCAUAAUGACACAUGUCAUAACGAUCAAAACUCCGGUGGUCUAAGAUGGACUCGCGUCCCAUUAGCUAGUUGGUAGAGUAAAAGCCUACCAAGGCGACGAUGGGUAGCCGGCCUGAGAGGGUGAACGGCCACAUUGGAACUGAGAAACGGUCCAAACUUCUACGGGAGGCAGCAGUGGGGAAUAUUGCACAAUGGAGGGAACUCUGAUGCAGCGACGCCGCGUGAACGAAGAAGGCUUUCGAGUCGUAAAGUUCUUUUAUAUGGGAAGAUAAUGACGGUACCAUAAGAAAAAGCCCCGGCUAACUACGUGCCAGCAGCCGCGGUAAUACGUAGGGGGCUAGCGUUGUCCGGAAUCACUGGGCGUAAAGGGUUCGCAGGCGGAAAUGCAAGUCAGAUGUAAAAGGCAGUAGCUUAACUACUGUAAGCAUUUGAAACUGCAUAUCUUGAGAAGAGUAGAGGUAAGUGGAAUUUUUAGUGUAGCGGUGAAAUGCGUAGAUAUUAAAAAGAAUACCGGUGGCGAAGGCGACUUACUGGGCUCAUUCUGACGCUGAGGAACGAAAGCG
Molecule: ribosomal RNA, 701 nt
Filed under: uncultured Eubacteriales bacterium
Lineage: Bacteria; Bacillati; Bacillota; Clostridia; Eubacteriales
Description: bacterial SSU rRNA
Rfam family: Bacterial small subunit ribosomal RNA
Source: RNAcentral